CCGAGCCCACUGGGAACUAUGGAAGAUAGUUCUCACCCCACUCUAUUUUCAGUGGUAGGUUCAGGGCUGCAGAGAGAGGACCGCGGCAAGGGCGUCGCGCCCGACCAGUGAGACCGUGGUAGUAUAGUAGCUUUCCUUUUUGUAUUAGUCACUUAUGUAUUGAGAGAGAGAUUUAUUAUAGGUGAGGAUUUGGAGAGCUAUGUAUUUUGGAUGAAAAAUGUAUUCAUUUAAAGAAAAUGAUGUAAAUGAGGAUGUUGAAACUAUUGUAAUAGUUAGCAAGGUACUCUCUUUAUUUCACUUGUU
RNAcentral lists this long non-coding RNA (303 nucleotides) under Ananas comosus (pineapple). Its description in RNAcentral is "long non-coding RNA (ACOM_LNC036311)". The record is from RNAcentral. Lineage: Eukaryota; Viridiplantae; Streptophyta; Magnoliopsida; Poales; Bromeliaceae.